UAUAGUAAUUUUGCCUAAAUCUGUCGUGCAACCAGUUUUACGCUUUUUCACAAAUUCAGGUAGAUUCCUCCACGUUUCGUUCCGUUUGCUUGCGUUUAAGAAACAAUCUGAGUUUCGAUGUGGAGUCAUUUUGGGUAAAUAUGUCGGCCAACCAGUUUUACGCGUAUUUUUCCAAUUCAAUUUCUCAGCCAAGAUGUAGCAAAGCUUGUAAUAUAUGUCCUUAAAACGACCAACGCCUCUUGCACACAGGCUGGGUUUCGACAUCACGGGGGGAUAUUUAUAUCUCGGGAUACGCUGCUCCCCUUGAAAUGCACUUGUCGUUAUUGCACUUGGCGCUUCGGUAUCGCACGAUGACGUCAAGGUUAGUAUAGGGCGUCAUUGCCUGUGCAAUGGUGUGCUAUAUCGACUGAGCAGGCGUCAGUCGCCAAUUACUCCAACAUUUUGUAUCUGUACGCGGUGGAAUAUAUAAUUUCUUAUAAACUAGUGCGGGGACUUGAGUUAACGAGUGGUAAUGGCGAGCUUCUCUCCGCUGGUCCUGUCCAUCGCUGCCACCAGCUUUGUGACGUUCCAGUGUCUGUUCCAUUUUGUCAGUCCCUGUAUCUCUGCUCGGUUCUGUCCUGGGUACCGCCGCCUCAGCCCUAAACACAACGUAGAGUGGAACUCCAGAACUGUGUCUACAUUUCACGCCUUGAUAGUGGGCCUUUUUUGUCUCUACAUAUUACUAUUUGAUGAUGCCGUCAAUGAAGACCCAGUCUGGGGAGAUCCGUCACUGGUGAAAAUAAAUGUGGCCAUAACCUGUGGCUACCUCCUAUCAGAUAUGCUGCUCAUAUGUUACUAUUGGCGGGCGAUAGGGGACAAGUUUUUUGUAAUCCACCACCUGGCAGCACUGUAUGCUUACUACUAUGUACUGGUGAGUUCCUUACUGACCCAGAGUAGAAUGUGCAGGCAAGAUGGGGAAGGGACAAGGGCCAAGGGUGAACAGCCAUGUAGUUUGAUGGGAUUGGUUAGAAUAGAUAACAAAGUGCUUGUCAGGGAUGAAAUAGUUUGGUUCCACUUUACAGUAUCCCUAAUAUGUGUAGACCUAUAAAUACACUGCUAUAAGUGUUAUUACUUAGUUGUUUUACUGUACUUACUAGGGUUAUUACGCAGUAAUAGAACACUGUAAACCAGGGGUAGGCAAGUAGAUUCAGCCGCGGGCCUAUUUUUGUCGGAGCGAAUGGUUGACAAAAUUUGUACACAGCAAAUUGACCACAACUAAGCCCAAAAAGAGAUUGUAUUUAAGAAAUAACAAUAAUUUCAUACCUUGAUUACAUUGAGACGCGAUUACACAUCUCUUUUUUAUUUAUGGGAAUACUUGAACAGAUUUCCUAAAAUAACACAUUUUUAACUGAACUCCUGGUGAUUUUACAGUCUUUUUGAGCAAAAAUGACCCCUCCCCCCCAGGUUUAGGCCUGUUUCCAACCCCUGCUGUUGCCGACCCCUGCUGUACACUAAAGCGUUACCCUCCCUUCUUCGGGAAGGUACAGUGUAAGCAAGUGCAUAUAUUGUUCGAAAGUAGUUAGAGUUGUAAAACAGUUUUGAUAUAUGGCUUGCAGUUGACGCACCACCAAAAGCUAGACAACCAUGUGAUGUAUUUGUUCACUCUUGGUCCUGUCCUGUGAAUCUAUUCUGGGCCGUCAGGCUCAGUAGCUGCUAAGACUAACGAUGACAAUGAUCAGGAUGGGGACCAUUUUUUGCAUGGAAUACGAUGAUGAGUUGUUGUGCCCGUUUCAAAGCCACAGAUUCAGACCAGUCCCGGACUAGAAUACAUGCUCAAUGGAGAAUAUCCAUUGAAUAUAAUUUUUUUUGGUCCCAGACUAGGAUUAAUCUGUGUCCAGGAAACCAGACUGUAGAGUUUCUGUGCAUAAUGUAUUCUCUUACUUCUCUCAGUCUGUGAUGGUGAUUGGUGCAUACUGCCUUUUGGUUGUUUUGACCUUUUGACCCUAGACCCUAUACAUCACUACAAAGACAGGGUCUUCCUCUUAUUUCAUUUUUAAAAAAUCACCACUGACUUUUCUCAGUAAAAUGUACUGGAUAAUUUCCAGUCCCUUUUCUGGGUAAUGUUAGACUGGAUUGUAGAGUAAAUGUUUAGAAAUAUAUAUUUAGAUAAUAACUUAAUAACAGCAUCCACAUAGUUAGUCCAUAUCUUUUUUAUUUUCUCUAGAAUGUUUAAAAAAAAUAUUCUUCAAUGUUGGGAUGGGGGCUUUUAAUGGUGCCAGUUAUCACUAGUUGCACAUUUCUUCUGUUUAGGUAUUUAUGUCCAUGUCUUUCCUCCACUUACAUGUGUGAUCAAUGAACACAGUCUUGUGUCUCUAACCUGCUAACAAUACAGAACAUGCAAAAAAUGUCUGAAACAAAGAACAGGCCUGUGUCAAAUGGCUAUAGAAGGGGUCCCUUCCUAUCUUGUCUGUAGUGGAUUCUGUUGUGGUACAUAGAGCACAUGUUGCCUAGUAACAGUAUGGAUUUACCAGUACAUAGCGGUACGAGCAUGCACUGCUGGAUUGUCACCACCAAUUUUUGAACACAUUUUGAACAUUUCUAUGUGACCCAAGUUUAUUAACCGUGUCAUAACCCCAGUAAGUACACCUAGAUGUUUUAUUUUUUUGGGAUCGUACGGUAGGUUUACGAUCAUGAUGUAUCACGAAUUCACAUAUUUUUGAAAGUACUUCUCUUGCCAUUAUUUUCUUUGCACUUUGUUCUGUCUCUCUCUUUUAGAGCAUAGGAAUGUUGCCUUAUUUUGCUAACUUCCGUCUGGUCGCAGAGCUUUCCACUCCUUGUGUGAACCAGCGGUAGGUAACCUCUGUGCCAAAUAGACUCACGCACACACAAACAGAAGGUUUACUGGGAAGUAGAGGGAACCUCAUUAAAUACCCAUUUAUUUGUCCUUACAGUAUUUGCCAAGUGGCUUUUGUCAUUGGUAGUAGUGCAUUCAACCGUUUCAGAAACACUAUUGACUGUUAAUGUUUAACUACUUAUAGUGAGUCAGACCUGUUACACCCAGCUGAAAGCUCCUACAGUAUCUGACAUACAUCAUUAGAGACAUGUUUCAUACUUAAUAAUACAUUUUCAGUCACAUACAUUUCCAAUUGUAUACUAUUAUCCUGAUUUAAUCCAACAAAGACAAAAUCCAGAUUCAAUGUUAAACAUUUACAUUUAUAUUUGAAUCAUUUAGCUUACACUCUUAUCCAGAGUGAAUUACAGUUAGUGCAUUCAUUUUAAUAUAGCUGGGUGGGACAACCACAUAUCACAGUCAAAGUAAGUAUAUUUUUCCUCAUAGUAGCUAUCAGCAAAGUCAGUGAUUAGUAGAAAGAGAGUCAAGUGUGAGUGUUAGUUUAACAGGUAGGAUUUCAGACGUUUUCAGAAGAUGGGCAGGGACUCUGCUGACCUAGCGUCGGGGAAGCUUGUUCCACCAUUGGGGUGCCAGGAAAGAGUCCUCCCGUAGGGUUGGGAGAGCCAAGAGGCCAGAGGUGGCAGAACGGAUUGCUCGGGUUAGGGUGUAGGGUUUGAGCAUAUGCUUGAAGGUAGGGAUUGCCAUGACGCUAUUGCCAGGAAAGAGUCCUCCCGUAGGGUUGGGAGAGCCAAGAGGCCAGAGGUGGCAGAACGGAUUGCUCGGGUUAGGGUGUAGGGUUUGAGCAUAUGCUUGAAGGUAGGGAUGGGCAGUUCCCUAAGGAAUUGUACUUAAAACCUUUAAGUUCUUGGUAUACUGUAGAUAUGUCUUAAGAGCCACCUUUCUGGAACAAUGCCAGUUGAUAUCCAUGACUCCAUUACAAUUGAGUCCAACAACUGCUAUCUCACUCUGUAACUAUACUAACUGUAUCUAUCUUUCAGCUGGUUCUUUGAAGUGCUUGGUUACCCAAAGAAAUCAUUACCAAAUAUGGUCAACGGAAUUGCCAUGACGCUAUCCUUCUUCCUGGUGAGGAUAGCCGUCAUGCCGAUGUAUUACAGCCGGAUGUACGCCGUGUACGGGACAGAACCUUUCUACCGGGUGACUUUUGGUGGCCGUUGUGCAUGGAUGGGCCCCAGUUUCUGUCUAGACAUUAUGAACGUCAUGUGGAUGCAUAAAAUGGCCCGCGGCUGCAUUAGUGUCCUGCGCUCUCCCGGAAAGGUAAAAGUGGAAAAGCUACAGAAUGGGAAAGUGCACUGAGAGGUUGCACAAGGCUAUGGUGGAGUUAUUUUUAUUGUAUGUCUGGUUCAAAUGGUUCAUGGACAUUUUUGGAUCAAAUGGUUCAUGGACUGGAAAUGUCUUGAGACUCCCUAGGAUCCCAUGACCAGCCCUAGGUAAAUUGUGUACCACUAUAUUUAUUUGCCCAGAACACUGCCAAUUGAACAAGCUCUACAGUCCUCCAAAAUGAUGGGAGGGGACAUGGUAAAGGCCAUUGGAUUGCAUCUCCUCUUGGUCCUUACAGAUGGAGGAAGUGGAUGGAAACAAACAGACAAUACUCUAAAGCACAGGUCCUCUUUUCUGUAGGACCCUUUGAUUGUAAAUUGUAUGUAUGUCCACCCAAAGGUGUCUUGUGUGUAUUGCCACAAUUACAUGAACUGACAUGGAAGAUAAUGUUAAAGGAACUCACAUAGUUUUGUAAUGUUUAUGAAGCCAUAUAGAUGGCUCUUGUACAAAUAUCAUGAGAUAUUGUACAAAAAUAAAAUCCUUACUUGAAAUCUGUGUUUUCACCAGCAUUAGGAUGUAAAAGCAGUAUAUUGUCAGGCUACUGAAGUCUAUGCUCAGGAGCCUGCUCAUGCAGUAGGCCUAGGAAAUAUUAGUCAUGCACAUAAAGUAUCAGGGUAGAUUUAGACAAACCAUGUAUUGUAAUUUUAUCUCUAGAAGUGACCUUACUGAGUGUGAUUCAUGAUAACAGCAAUAAAAGUGCACUUAUGUCUAACCGACACACGCACACUAUAACUUCACACAAGCAUCUCCACACAGUUCACAAAUUACAAAUCAAACUUCAGAAGUCAAGCUUCAUAAUGUAAUGUGAAAAAUUUAAUUAAAGGGAUACUGCAAGAUUCUGGCAUUUAAUCCCUUUUUCUGGUUACCCAGAGUCUGAUGAACUUGUAUGUCUGCAUGCAGUAUGAAGUUAGAAUAGCAAUGCUACUGUACCUUUAGACUUCCAGUCUUUGUGUUAUCGCUAGUUAACGUUGGCUAGCUAAACUACCUCUAUUUUCAUCAUGCUGUGUGCAGAGACAUAAAAAUGGUAUCCGCAAGUUCAUCUUCUCCGGGUAAGCAGAACAUGGCCUUAAAUGCAAGAAUCUCGCAUUAUGCCUUUCAGGUUUCCCUGUUGGAUCUCUGGGUGAGAAUAUGCAAGCUAUUGUGACAUUUACAGCUAUGUUAGUUAUAAUAUUUCAUUUAAAAAUAUAUAUUUUAAUAAUGAACUCCUAGUUAGUUGAAGUGAAUGAUUUAUUAACUUUAUUUUCAUACUUGCUUUGAUUGUCUUCAGACAGUUGUCAGCAGACAACACGACGACACUUGUCUGCUGCUGCUCUCUUGUGGAGACAAUGCGGGACUGCAAACAUCCCCUCAAAAGGAGGAUACAGUGGUCAAUGAGUUUUGAGGAAUAUUAAUAAAAAAAUGAUUGAUGUUAAAA
Oncorhynchus kisutch (coho salmon) is the source of this 5621-nucleotide RNA transcript. It is a transcript of the gene named TLC domain-containing protein 4-B, with no coding region annotated. The transcript has 6 exons. The record is from RefSeq and is a predicted model, not a curated record. Lineage: Eukaryota; Metazoa; Chordata; Actinopteri; Salmoniformes; Salmonidae.